GGGGUUAUAGCUCAGCUGGGAGAGCGCCUGCCUUGCACGCAGGAGGUCUGCGGCUCGAUCCCACAUAACUCCACCA
RNAcentral lists this transfer RNA (76 nucleotides) under Vibrio cholerae. RNAcentral's name for it is "tRNA-Ala". It matches the Rfam family "tRNA". From Rfam's summary of the family: Transfer RNA (tRNA) molecules are approximately 80 nucleotides in length. Lineage: Bacteria; Pseudomonadati; Pseudomonadota; Gammaproteobacteria; Vibrionales; Vibrionaceae. The record is from RNAcentral.